ACGAACGCUGGCGGCGUGCCUAACACAUGCAAGUCGAACGGAGAGCUAUAACGAUUUUCUUCGGAAAUGAGAUAUAGUUUCUUAGUGGCGGACGGGUGAGUAACGCGUGAGGAACCUGCCUUUCAGUGGGGGACAACAGUUGGAAACGACUGCUAAUACCGCAUAAUGUAGCGAGACCGCAUGAUCUUGCUACCAAAGCUUUAUGUGCUGAAAGAUGGCCUCGCGUCUGAUUAGCUAGUUGGUGGGGUAACGGCCCACCAAGGCGACGAUCAGUAGCCGGUCUGAGAGGAUGAACGGCCACAUUGGGACUGAGAUACGGCCCAGACUCCUACGGGAGGCAGCAGUGAGGAAUAUUGCACAAUGGGCGCAAGCCUGAUGCAGCAACGCCGCGUGAGGGAAGACGGUCUUCGGAUUGUAAACCUCUGUCCUUGGUGAAGAAUAAAUGACGGUAGCCUUGGAGGAAGCCACGGCUAACUACGUG
RNAcentral lists this ribosomal RNA (481 nucleotides) under uncultured bacterium. RNAcentral's name for it is "bacterial SSU rRNA". It matches the Rfam family "Bacterial small subunit ribosomal RNA", at positions 29 to 507 of the family's 1533-position model. The record is from RNAcentral.